CAAACAAUUCCCACUGAACUAUUAUGGUUGAAUGGCAGUGGGCACUUGGUGGAUCGUUCAAGCCACAGGGGUGGAAAAUCUAUUCGUGGCAGGCGUAUUAAUGCAAAAGUCCUUUUGUAUUUGAAACCUUAUAAUUCUUCUCACAUGUAUUUAAACAAUCUAUUGAAAAAUUCUGGAAGGAAGGAAGGAAGGAAGGAAGGAAGAAAGGAAGGAAGGAAGGAAGGAAGGAAGGAAGGAAGGAAGGAAGGAAGGAAGGGCAUCUACUGGAGAACCUGAAAUAACCAAGCACUUAGGACGGUUAAAAAUCAAUUGCUUUGAAGAGAGUUUUUCUUAAUUUUUGAUAAUAUUUUGCCAAUUAUCAAUCAAACUCAGAUGGAAUUAUUGGACAGAAAAUUAGAAUUGUCUAAUUAUUUUAGAAAGUUAUUUUAAAUAUUCCUCAGCUAACAGGGAUAUCUGUGUUAUGGUUGAUCCAAAAAUAACAUCAAAGAUUUAAAAAGUUGUUAAUUAAAGAUUUGUCUUGCUAUUAAUGUAUCCUUCUAUAACAUGACAUAAGAAUUGUCAACCUUGAGUGUGAAUUGUAAGCUGCAAUACCAGAAAUAUUGAUCAUAAGAAUAUUGUGAUUUAAGCACACAUGUUGCUUGAAAUGUGAAUAUUUAAUCUGUUCAUAUAUAUUUGAAACAUAACUAGUGUGCCAGAAACAUUUGAAAGAAUCAUCUAGUGGCUUUGUAUUCUGAGUUUUGUAAUGAAAAACUCAUUAAGUUCCUGCCAGUACUUUGUAUUAAGAAACCUUGUAAGGUACUUCUAAUGACUGCUGUGACAUUUAAAUUACUAUUUAUUCUUUAUUAAAUCUUGAAUAUUUAUUAUGUUGUACCCAGCAAUUUCAGUUUUGUACUAUUACCUUUUCUGAUCAAUAAAGGAAGUAAAAGAACAUUUCCA
This 936-nucleotide long non-coding RNA is filed under the name Salvator merianae (Argentine black and white tegu). RNAcentral's name for it is "lncRNA (ENSSMRG00000021936.1)". The record is from RNAcentral. Lineage: Eukaryota; Metazoa; Chordata; Lepidosauria; Squamata; Teiidae.